RNAcentral lists this transfer RNA (76 nucleotides) under Acidobacteriota bacterium. RNAcentral's name for it is "tRNA-Phe". It matches the Rfam family "tRNA". Rfam says of the family: Transfer RNA (tRNA) molecules are approximately 80 nucleotides in length. Their secondary structure includes four short double-helical elements and three loops (D, anti-codon, and T loops). Lineage: Bacteria; Pseudomonadati; Acidobacteriota. RNAcentral also lists the same sequence under 3 other names. The record is from RNAcentral.
GGCCAGGUAGCUCAGAUGGUAGAGCGCGGCCCUGAAAAGGCCGGCGUCGGCGGUUCGAGUCCGUCCCUGGCCACCA